Meriones unguiculatus (Mongolian gerbil) is the source of this 2143-nucleotide long non-coding RNA. NCBI's taxonomy places the organism in Eukaryota, Metazoa, Chordata, Mammalia, Rodentia, Muridae. The record is from Ensembl.
AAACAAGCAAAAAUAAACCUACAGUGUGAAAUUACAGGCUCAAGAAUAUUUACUAAUAUACUGAAGAAAUGUGUACAUAUUACUGAAAUCUAUAACUCUACUUGGGUUUUUUGUUUGUUGUUUGUUUGUUGCUUACUUAGUGUCUCUGAAAGUACUUAGCACCUAUUGGUCUCAGGAAAACAUCUGUAAGCUGUAGCAGCUGGUGUCACCUUCCCUGUGCAGAUCACAAGGUUCUUGGCAGUCACUUCCAUACCAGACCAGUGAGUAUUGUUUUUCUUCUUUCCAAAUGGAUAGACAAAAGCAAACUGGAGAUAAAAGCCUUGUUCAGAACCACACAUUUCACUCACCCAGUGAGAAACAAUGGCUGCCUGUCUUCUCAUCCUUCAACAAUGAAGAGCUUUCAAGCUUUGCUGUCAAUAAGAGUUCUGGAAAGAUUACACUGGCUGAAAGGCACAAUGGGUCCACCCUCCUUACCCUUGGACUCUGGAUCCAAACUCAAGCAAUCAACCAAAGCAAGAUGGACAACAUUAAGAAAGUCUGCUUGGACAUCCAAGAAGGAAGACUCUCGUGUGUCAACAAGCACAAGCAGCGAAGCUUAAGACACAGGAAGAGAGCUUCAGAGUUUAAAUGUGUGCUCACAUCCGUAUUCCUUUCCCUUGAUGAGAAGUUGGCUGGAACCAGCAUUCAGUCUUGAGAAACGCAAAUUCUUCCCUGACAGGUUCACUAAGUUGGCCUCAUCCAAACAGUGAAGCAUAGCCGAUGUCUAAUCUAAUAAGAAAACUUUCUGGGUUUCUCCCAAGUCAAACUGGGAACAAGUGAAGGGAAGUUCAGAUGUCCUCACGCGCCAGUGUUCGUCAUUUAUGUGGUCAGUGCACGUAGGGACAGGCCAGACUGAAAUCGAGAAGCUCCGGCAGCCUCCCGGAAGCAAAGUAUAAACUGCCCAGAUUGUAAAAGCGAGGUCACUCACCUCCUAUAGUCUCAGGCAUAACUUAACCCACUGCUCUUCUCUUGUGAAAUGCUGGUAUAAUUACCAGUGAGAAAAAAGAAAGAAAACAAACAAACAAACAAAACCAGAUUGCCACACCUUUCUUUUCAGCCAGUCACUUGUGAACACCUCUGAUGGUCCUUGUCAGUUAUUUCGAUUAUUUAAGAAUGUCUGUCUGAUUCCACCUUUAAUUGUCAUCCCUGGCAUAGUGUUGGCAUUUCUUUAUGCUAGGCAAGUUAGCUGAAGACAAAGUUCUGAAAUGGCAUUAAGCAUUGGAGCAAUAGAGUCAGCAGGGUGGCUCAGAGGGAAAAGGGGCUUGUCUGCAAGCCUGCCAAUCAAUUUGCUCACCAGAUCCUGCAUGGGGCUAGGAAAGAACUAUCUCCUGCAAACUGUCUUCUCACCUCUACACAUGAUAUAUGCAUGCCAGAUAUACAAAUGUAAAAUAAGCUUUUUUUUUUUUUUUAAACAGGGUUUCUCUGUGUAGCCUUUACUGUCUUGGACUCGCUUUGCAGACCAGGCUGGCCUUGAACUCACAGUGAUCUGACUGCCUCUGCCUCCGCAAGUGCUCAGAUUACAAGUGUGUGCUACCAUGCCUGGCUGUAAAAUAAGUUUUUUAAGUUUUUAUUUUUAACCACAUGUAUGUGUGCGUGUGUGUGUUUGUGGUGAGAGAGUAUGCAAGUGGAGGCCAGAGGCGAAGAGCAGGUGUCUUCCUUAACCAUGCCUCACCUUAAGCUUCCCACGGAGAGAGAGCCUCUCCCUGGAGCUCAGAGCUUGAGGAUCUAGCUAUCCACUAGUCAGCUUGCUCUCCCCAGAGGUUACAAUCAAUAGGCCUCCACUCCUACAUGGCAUUUACAUGGAUUCCAUAUCCAUUCCUCAAACUUACACAGAAAGUACUUUGCUUGAGAUGAGUCUUAUGUAACCUAGGUUAUUUUGGACCCCAAUUGGUAGCUGAGGGUGACUUUGAACUUCUGAUCCUCUAAUUUUGCCUUUCAACUGUUAGGCUUGCAGGCAGACAACCAGUUUUAUGAGGUGCUAGGAAUGGAACCUAGGUCUUUGUGGCAUGCUAGGCAAGAGCUCUGCUAACUGAGACAUAUCAGUAUGUUUUCAAAAGUAAAUUUGCUAAAUAAAUGUAAAAUGACAAUAAUAGAUUAUACGGAA